RNAcentral lists this transfer RNA (80 nucleotides) under Talaromyces rugulosus. RNAcentral's name for it is "tRNA-Lys". The record is from RNAcentral. Lineage: Eukaryota; Fungi; Ascomycota; Eurotiomycetes; Eurotiales; Trichocomaceae.
GCCCGAUUAUUUCAAUUGGUUAGAAUGCUCGCCUUUUAGCUGUUGAAGCGGGAAGCUACGGGUGACCCCCGUAUCGGGCU